Molecule: long non-coding RNA, 841 nt
Filed under: Numida meleagris (helmeted guineafowl)
Lineage: Eukaryota; Metazoa; Chordata; Aves; Galliformes; Numididae
Description: lncRNA (ENSNMEG00000003660.1)
Source: RNAcentral
UCCCCUGCGGGUCUCGAGCUUUUAAGUACCAGAGAAUUCUUGAAAAUAAGAUUUUUUUCCUUUCUUUCCCCCCCAUCUCUUUUCAGUGUUUUUUUUUUUGUCCUCUCAGAGGUGUCUGAGGACUGCUAGCCCUGUAGACACCCCAUCCUGACACCUGUCCCUUGUCCCCAUCCCCCUCCCUUGCCUUUCACCAGAGCUGCAGAGCAUGGCUGUUUCCAAAGGGAUGAUCAAAUCAGAGGCACCUGCACGCUGAUCCCUGCUAAAUCCUGGACUCCAGACUGCAGAAAUAACAGUGAACUGAGAAAUACAGCGAUCGGCCACACUUGUAAUGAACCCCAAUAGCAUCAUUCUGGGACUAUGCUGCUGUAAAGUGAGAUCAGCUGGAGGUGCCGGGGCCAGAAAGUUAUCAGGGAAGGAAGCAUUUUUGCAGCAGGAUGGGAGAAGGAAAGCCCCUGCCUGGGGAGAUGCACCAGGAGCGGAGAGACGGGAGGAGAGCGGCACACAUGGAGCAGCAGCUGCUCCCCCAGCACACGUCCCCCGGGCACUGAGGCAACAGUGGCGAGAGGCGGGCAUCAGCUGCGGAUCUCUGGCAUCGGAGAGGACUUCUCCUCUGGGGGCCGGCGUGGAAGCGGGGCCAGCUCUCAGAGCACUGAGCUGAGGAGGCCCAGCUGGGGCGAGAUGCAUGCACCGAGCUGGCAGGUCUCAGCCUGCUGCAGCCCCAAGCACAGGGCAGCUGAUGCUUGUAGGGAUGGCCAGGGAGGAGAAGUCCUCAGGAACUGGGCUUGCUGACAAAGAUAUGUGGCUGCCAGUGUGAAGGUCUGCUCAGCGUAGCUGUAUGCGU